AGCAAAGCUGACAGUUUGCUUAUCACUUAUUCUCACAAGAUGUGCACAGUUCUCAAACAGGACCUUUUCUUGCAGGAUCUAUGGCCUGAAGAGAAUGAAACCACUGAAAAAUGAAAUAGAAUUCUUCAAGGGACUCUAUUCCACGGAAAGAAUGUUGCUACUGGAAAACUUCUACAGAGCUGCGUGACUUUAUCAUCUUUUAAGAUUCAUCAGCAUUCAGCGGAGAACCAGACAGAGAAAAAACGUGGUAUGAUCUGCGACAUCAAGGCAAAGGGCCCAAAAGUUGUUCUGGCCCUGGGAAAGGGUCCCAGAGUCAGACUGGCCAGCUUUUACCACGGCUGAUGGUCCAGCAUGCCGGCCGGAGCCCCCGCCUCCUUGGGGCACCUUGAGAAGACCAGGCAACAGGGAGAACUUUAUCCUGGACCCAUCUUGGUCUCCACAAGGACCCUGGGGACUUGCUGGCCGCAGUGCUCUAUCUGCUGGCCUGACGAGUUCAACCAGAGACGGACCCAUUCUAGCCUGGGUGACAAAUGGAAACUGUUAAGAUUGUGAUCAAGAGAGUUUACGAGGUGGCAUUUAUCACGGGCAUGAUCCAUAUCUCGGCCCCAGCCUCCCAGGGCCAGAACAUCUGUUUCCGGGGUCCCAGAGCUGACUGGACUCCAGGAAGUCAGCUCCAGUUUAUGAAACUCACAAAAACAUGUUUGUCAUGAGCAAUCCAACAGGCGAGCUGGACGGAGUGUCGGGCCGGCCCACCCAGCACACCGCAGUCCAUGGGAAAUCUCGCUGGGCAGCCACAUGACAGCAGCAGGAUGCCACUCAGCCUUGAGCACCACACAGUGAGGGGCUGGGCAGCCAAGUGUGGCGUGGCAUCAGGCUCCGACCAGGACGAGAGCUGGUGACACCAGAGGCUGGCAGAGCACACCUGUGGGCCAGGAUGUCCUUUGCCAGGGAGGGCUGGAAGCCAAGGUGGACCUCUCUGUUCCUGUGUGCCACGGGGACGGUCAAGGUCGGGAAUGCCUCCGCUCCCUGGACUUUGAUUCUUCCUGAUCCCCGUGAAAUGACAACAGUUGCCCACCACCAGUAGAUUGAGAUGAGUCAAAGAAAGUUCGUCUUUAUUUUCUAUUUCUUGUGUCGCCAGAUGCAGUCCAGACAUCAGCACUGUUUGCAGUCCUCUGCUCGAAGGCGGGGCUCUGCAGCCUCCUGGGCACUCCUGGAGCCUGGCUUUAUACCGCGUCUCCUUCUGACGGUGGGACGCCAGUGGGAUCUGCCCCAGGCCCAAGAGACCCCUGCAACAGCCAAGUGGAGAAGCCACCAGGGCCUGCGUGACAACCAAUCACAAGACCCUUUUACCUCACUUGGGAUAAUGAUGCAAUCGCUCGUUUCUAAUUUUUAAGAAAAGCAGACACAGCAAGCAAGAGGAAUUCCAACCACAGAGGGCUUUUUUAAACGUAAUUUUGAGAAGGCAACUUUGAACAAAGAACUUGCAGACAUGGUGUAACUCCUUCUUAUUAGAGAUGAGCAAGCUUUCCUUGGAAGGACGUGAAGCCCUUGGCAUAGGCUGCUUAAGAAAAAUAGUUAACUGCUUAAGUUAAAAUAGUUAAGACAACAGUUAACAAGAAAGAGAGAAAGAGAGAGAGAGAAGAAAGAAAAGAAAGAAAAGAGAAAGAGAGAGAGAGAGAAAAAAAGA
This is a long non-coding RNA of Equus caballus (horse), 1687 nucleotides long. The record is from Ensembl. NCBI's taxonomy places the organism in Eukaryota, Metazoa, Chordata, Mammalia, Perissodactyla, Equidae.